CCUACGGGUGGCUGCAGUGAGGAAUAUUGGUCAAUGGACGAGAGUCUGAACCAGCCAAGUAGCGUGAAUGAUGACUGCCCUAUGGGUUGUAAACUUCUUUUAUAUGGGAACAAAAAGUUCCAAGUGUGGGAUUUUGUAUGUACCAUAUGAAUAAGGAUCGGCUAACUCCGUGCCAGCAGCCGCGGUAAUACGGAGGAUCCGAGCGUUAUCCGGAUUUAUUGGGUGUAAAGGGAGCGUAGGUGGAUUGUUAAGUCAGUUGUGAAAGUUUGCGGCUCAACCGUAAAAUUGCAGUUGAAACUGGCAGUCUUGAGUACAGUAGAGGUGGGCGGAAUUCGUGGUGUAGCGGUGAAAUGCUUAGAUAUCACGAAGAACUCCGAUUGCGAAGGCAGUUCACUGGACUGCAACUGACACUGAGGCUCGAAAGUGUGGGUAUCAAACAGGAUUAGAUACCCUUGUAGUC
RNAcentral lists this ribosomal RNA (460 nucleotides) under uncultured bacterium. Its description in RNAcentral is "partial 16S ribosomal RNA". It matches the Rfam family "Bacterial small subunit ribosomal RNA", at positions 338 to 795 of the family's 1533-position model. The record is from RNAcentral.